GGAAUCUUAGACAAUGGGGGAAACCCUGAUCUACCCAUGCCGCGUGAGCGAUGAAGGCCUUAGGGUGGUAAAGCUCUUUCGUGGGGGCAGAUAAUGACUGUACCCCAAGAAGAAGCCCCGGCUAACUCCGUGCCAGCAGCCGCGGUAAUACGGAGGGGGCUAGCGUUGUUCGGAAUUACUGGGCGUAAAGCGCACGUAGGCGGACCGGAAAGUCAGAGGUGAAAUCCCAGGGCUCAACCUUGGAACUGCCUUUGAAACUCCUGGUCUUGAGGUCGAGAGAGGUGAGUGGAAUUCCGAGUGUAGAGGUGAAAUUCGUAGAUAUGCGGAGGAACACCAGUGGCGAAGGCGGCUCACUGGCUCGAUACUGACGCUGAGGUGCGAAAGCGUGGGGAGCAA
This 396-nucleotide ribosomal RNA is filed under the name uncultured bacterium. RNAcentral's name for it is "bacterial SSU rRNA". It matches the Rfam family "Bacterial small subunit ribosomal RNA", at positions 358 to 771 of the family's 1533-position model. The record is from RNAcentral.